AUGCAAGUCGAGGGGUAACGAUGUCUUCGGACAGGCGACGACCGGCGCACGGGUGAGUAUCGCGUUUGUAACCUACCCUUUAACUGGAGAAUAGCCCGAAGAAAUUCGGAUUAAUACUCCAUAACACUAUGAUCUGGCAUCUUAUUAUAGUUAAAGCUCCGGCGGUUAAAGAUGGGCAUGCGUAACAUUAGAUAGUUGGUGAGGUAACGGCUCACCAAGUCUACGAUGUUUAGGGGGUCUGAGAGGAUGGUCCCCCACACUGGUACUGAGACACGGACCAGACUCCUACGGGAGGCAGCAGUGAGGAAUAUUGGUCAAUGGGCGCAAGCCUGAACCAGCCAUGCCGCGUGAAGGAUGACAGCGCUACGCGUUGUAAACUUCUUUUGUACAGGAAGAAACGCUUCUACGUGUAGAAGUCUGACGGUACUGUACGAAUAAGCAUCGGCUAACUCCGUGCCAGCAGCCGCGGUAAUACGGAGGAUGCAAGCGUUAUCCGGAUUUAUUGGGUUUAAAGGGUACGUAGGCGGAAAAUUAAGUCAGUAGUGAAAUCCUGCAGCUUAACUGUAGAACUGUUAUUGAUACUGGUUUUCUUGAAUAUAGUUGAGGUAGGCGGAAUGUGUAAUGUAGCGGUGAAAUGCUUAGAUAUUACACAGAACACCGAUUGCGAAGGCAGCUUACUAAGCUAUGAUUGACGCUGAGGUACGAAAGCGUGGGGAGCGAACAGGAUUAGAUACCCUGGUAGUCCACGCCGUAAACGAUG
Molecule: ribosomal RNA, 760 nt
Filed under: uncultured Cytophaga sp.
Lineage: Bacteria; Pseudomonadati; Bacteroidota; Cytophagia; Cytophagales; Cytophagaceae
Description: bacterial SSU rRNA
Rfam family: Bacterial small subunit ribosomal RNA
Source: RNAcentral